This 73-nucleotide transfer RNA is filed under the name Pseudonocardiaceae bacterium. RNAcentral's name for it is "tRNA-Thr". It matches the Rfam family "tRNA". From Rfam's summary of the family: Transfer RNA (tRNA) molecules are approximately 80 nucleotides in length. Their secondary structure includes four short double-helical elements and three loops (D, anti-codon, and T loops). The record is from RNAcentral. Lineage: Bacteria; Bacillati; Actinomycetota; Actinomycetes; Pseudonocardiales; Pseudonocardiaceae. RNAcentral also lists the same sequence under 3 other names.
GCCGGCGUAGCUCAACUGGCAGAGCAACCGCCUUGUAAGCGGUAGGUUCGGGGUUCGAGUCCCCGCGUCGGCU